Molecule: long non-coding RNA, 567 nt
Filed under: Columba livia (rock pigeon)
Lineage: Eukaryota; Metazoa; Chordata; Aves; Columbiformes; Columbidae
Description: partial uncharacterized LOC102090640
Source: RNAcentral
GAGGAAAAAUAUGAAAAAGAGAAACAUAGUAAAACACCUGAAGGAGAGAAAAACAGUAAUAGCACAGUGGAAACUGUAGAGACAGAAGAGACUACUCAGAAAGAGACCAUCAUUCAGCAGGAGAAAGAAAGCACUGACAAUCACACUGUGAACAAUUCUUCAGAGAACACUGAGGACCAAAUAAUUGGAGGAAUCGUCAGGAAGAAAAAGUUUUCCCUGUUUAAGCGAAAGUCACUGACAGGCCAAAAGAAUGUAUGUAGUGGAAAGGAAGAUAUAUCUGGAAAGCCAUUACAGCAUGAACAAGAAAAAGAACAGGAAGACUUAUCUGGUGAAGACAGCAAAGACGAAAACCAGAAUCAGACAUUGGAAAAUCCCAGGGAAACUGUGACUAAACAGGACAGAAGGGUGAAAUCUUCUACUUGUAUAUUACUGUAACACUGUUAUGGUUUGUAAGAAUGUGACAGUCUUAAAGCACAUAGUGCAAUCUUUACUUGAAAACAGUUACAACUCACUAGAGAUGUUGAUGGUUGCUUUUUUGUUGAUUCAACUGCUGUGAUUUUAAACAUG